GAUGAACGCUCGCUACAGGCUUAACACAUGCAAGUCGAGGGGAAACGGCAUUAAGUGCUUGCACUUUUUGGACGUCGACCGGCGCACGGGUGAGUAACGCGUAUCCAACCUUCCCAUGACUAAGGGAUAACCUGCCGAAAGGCAGACUAAUACCUUAUGGUCUUCACUGACGGCAUCAGAUGUGAAGUAAAGAUUUAUCGGUUAUGGAUGGGGAUGCGUCUGAUUAGCUUGUUGGCGGGGUAACGGCCCACCAAGGCAACGAUCAGUAGGGGUUCUGAGAGGAAGGUCCCCCACAUUGGAACUGAGACACGGUCCAAACUCCUACGGGAGGCAGCAGUGAGGAAUAUUGGUCAAUGGGCGAGAGCCUGAACCAGCCAAGUAGCGUGCAGGAUGACGGCGCUAUGGGUUGUAAACUGCUUUUGUAUGGGGAUAAAGUCAAUCACGUGUGAUUGUUUGCAGGUACCAUACGAAUAAGGACCGGCUAAUUCCGUG
Molecule: ribosomal RNA, 492 nt
Filed under: uncultured bacterium
Lineage: Bacteria
Description: partial 16S ribosomal RNA
Rfam family: Bacterial small subunit ribosomal RNA
Source: RNAcentral